RNAcentral lists this transfer RNA (55 nucleotides) under Corynebacterium freneyi DNF00450. It matches the Rfam family "tRNA", at positions 1 to 53 of the family's 71-position model. From Rfam's summary of the family: Transfer RNA (tRNA) molecules are approximately 80 nucleotides in length. The record is from Rfam by way of RNAcentral. Lineage: Bacteria; Bacillati; Actinomycetota; Actinomycetes; Mycobacteriales; Corynebacteriaceae.
GCGGAUGUAGCGCAGCUGGUAGCGCAUCACCUUGCCAAGGUGAGGGUCGCGGGUU